CCAGAGGGUCGGGCGAUCGCCGCCGCGCAAGCGGGGGAGGAAAGUCCGGGCUCCACGGAAACCACGGUGCCGGAUAACGUCCGGCGGCUUCGGGCAACCGGAGCAAGGGAAAGUGCCACAGAGAGCAGACCGCCAACGGCUUCGGCCCGGCGAAAGGUGAAAGGGUGCGGUAAGAGCGCACCGCGCGGACGGUAACGGACGCGGCACGGCAAACCCCACCGGGAGCAAGGUCGAAUAGGGAUGGCACGAGGUGACUCAGGGCUGGUUCCGGCCCCGCCGUCCGGGUUGACUGCUUGAGCGUCCGGGCAACCGGCCGCCUAGAGGAAUGAUCGCCCAUCCCCGGCAACGGGGUGGACAGAACCCGGCUUACAGACCCUCUGGCUUC
Sphingopyxis sp. MC1 is the source of this 385-nucleotide non-coding RNA. NCBI's taxonomy places the organism in Bacteria, Pseudomonadati, Pseudomonadota, Alphaproteobacteria, Sphingomonadales, Sphingopyxidaceae. The record is from Rfam.